This 392-nucleotide ribosomal RNA is filed under the name Rhizobium sp. Pang8. RNAcentral describes it as "bacterial SSU rRNA". It matches the Rfam family "Bacterial small subunit ribosomal RNA", at positions 381 to 788 of the family's 1533-position model. The record is from RNAcentral. Lineage: Bacteria; Pseudomonadati; Pseudomonadota; Alphaproteobacteria; Hyphomicrobiales; Rhizobiaceae.
UGAUGAAGGCCUUAGGGUUGUAAAGUGAUGAAGGCCUUAGGGUUGUAAAGCUCUUUCACCGAUGAAGAUAAUGACGGUAGUCGGAGAAGAAGCCCCGGCUAACUUCGUGCCANGCAGCCGCGGUAAUACGAAGGGGGCUAGCGUUGUUCGGAAUUACUGGGCGUAAAGCGCACGUAGGCGGAUAUUUAAGUCAGGGGUGAAAUCCCGCAGCUCAACUGCGGAACUGCCUUUGAUACUGGGUAUCUUGAGUAUGGAAGAGGUAAGUGGAAUUCCGAGUGUAGAGGUGAAAUUCGUAGAUAUUCGGAGGAACACCAGUGGCGAAGGCGGCUUACUGGUCCAUUACUGACGCUGAGGUGCGAAAGCGUGGGGAGCAAACAGGCAUUAGAUACCCU